Molecule: long non-coding RNA, 17754 nt
Filed under: Vitis vinifera (wine grape)
Lineage: Eukaryota; Viridiplantae; Streptophyta; Magnoliopsida; Vitales; Vitaceae
Description: long non-coding RNA (VVIN_LNC002090)
Source: RNAcentral
AAAGAUGAUUUCCAACUUAUUCAUUUAUUCUCAAUUUGUCUUAGUGUAAAAACCUUCAGAAGGGUACGUACGUACCACAUGUGAAUAAUAAUCAAAAUUACAAAAUACGUACAAUUGCCAGUAUGUUCUUCAUUAUGUAAACAAACGCACAAACUUUAUCACAAGAAUGACAAGAUACACGACCUAAUGAAAAGAAUUUCUGAUUUUGGGGGCUCCCAUGGUGGAGCUUUAUCUAUAUAUAUGUUCACUGUCCAGUAGCCAUGACGAACGGAGGGGGAGGCUUGGCAUGGCCUGCAAACUUCAUACCGUUAUGGCAAGGUGGGGCGCCCUUUUCCGGGAUAUGGCUGCAUGAACUGCUUCCAGAGGGAGGCACAGGACCUGAACUCAGAGAUUGCAAAGGAACAAAUCUUAUCUUGAUCCACUCUUCUUUCUCUCCAUCAAGAACCCUACCAGCACUGUGUGGUUGGACGCUCAGAACAAGGACAAGUGCCGUGACAGCUAAAGCAAUGUUGAGAAACCUCAUGAUCGAUCUUUGGCGGGUUAAGCAAAGAGGAGAUGAUCAAAGCAAUAUUUUUAGAUGGACAAAUUAAUAUGCAUAUAUGAUAUAUGGAAGAGAACGACCAUCUCGGUUAUUUAUAUGCUCCCAAUGGUAUGACUGGAGUUUUUGGUAGUUUGGCUUGUUUGAAGGGUUUCUUUGACUGUUGACUUACUAAUAGUGUUUUGCUUUGGGAGAUUGAAAAUUGAAGUGGUCUUAAAGAAGAAACUACGUCUGAAAAUACUUGAUUACUGUACACAUGAGCAUGCAUCUUAUGACCUUUUUGAACACCAAAAAUUAUGUGAGAAGGAAAAUGAUUUUAAUGUUAAGUUGGAGAGUUGCCUUGGUUGUCCUUAAUCAUCAUUCCCUCCCUAUUGAAUUAGGUUCACAUACUAGUUGGUAAAAGCCAUUUAAUAAAAAAAUUAAGAAAUAUUUACAAACUAGGUUAGCGUUAAAUAAGAUCGAGUACACUAUUUGAUCUAGGCAUUUUGGAGGUUCUUUCUUACAACUUGAACUUCCUUAAGGGGGCAUUAAUUUUGAAAAAUGAAUGAAGUUAUGGAUGAAGUGUCUUCACUUAAACGGGAGCUUAAGGCUAUAUUUGGUUCUCAAAAAUUUUAAGGGAAAAUGCGAGGGAAAUAAAAUAGAAGUAAUAGAAGUAAAAAUAAAAUAAAAUGAAAAAUAAUUUUAAAAUUAAUAAAUUAUAUUUUGUACUUGCAUUGUUUCAAAUUUUUUUACUUAUUUUAAUAUUAAAUAAUUUUAAAAUAUAUAAAUUUCUAGCCAAUUUCAAUUAUAUUUUAUUCUCUUUCACAUUUUCCAUAUGAAAAAAACCAAACACGAUAAAAUCAUUUUCCUUAUCAUUUUCUUUCUUUCCUUAGACAAUUUUGAAUUUCUCAAAAUUCUAAGAUUUUUUUAAAAGAUAUUAGACUCUUAAAUUCUUUAAAAUAACUCUUUAAAAAAUUAACCAUCUAAGUCUCAUUUGAUCCUUUGGACCAUAAUAUCCUAGUACAAAAAUUUCAAAAAGAUUGAUUGAAAAUAGAGAGCAGCUUAGGUACUUUUGAACCACUCGUGUUGCUUAAAGUUCUGGGAUGUUUUGGCUAGAUUUUGACCCCUUGUUAAUUUGAUAUGUUAGUAAACUGAAAAUAGAACCAAAGAGUAAAAUUCCACUCCAUUCUGAAUUUGUUUGCAUUAGAAAAGAAUUUCUAAAAUAUCAAUGGGUUUUCAAUACUAUGUGCUAAGAUAGUUUUAGAUUCCCAGAAUUUGUGUAUAUUAUUUGGGUCUCUUAUGAGUUUAUAAAUUAUUUUUUAAUUUUAUAGACUUAUUGUAGAAUAAAUCUUGAGAGUUUUGUAAUUUUUGAAACUCAUUUGGCUAAUGAAAAAACCGAGAAAAUGAGUAGCAUUGUAGAAUACUUUGUUUUUAGCAAAUCUAGAACCAAUUUAGGUUGAAGAUUGAUUGAUGAUCUUUCGCUGACCAUUUGACUUGGUUAUUAAUCUUCAAGGUAUUUAAAUUCAUCAAACAUAUUCAUUGACUUGAGUUCCACUUGAAUUGAACUUUGUUUGCCUAGAUUUGUUUUUAAAAAAAACUUUGUAUCUUUUCAUCUAGGGUGUUGUUUGGGUGAAAAUAGGCUUGCAAGACCUUAGAAUCCUAGUUUCCCGUUUUUAUAAAAUUAUCAAAUAUCUUUAAAUUUUCUUUUUUAGAGGAAAACUUAGAUUUUGAGGAAGCAUCAUAUUGUAAAAAAUAUUAACUUUUUAGUAUAGAUGUUUUUGUGAGUAGUUUGAUACAUAUGAUUUUAUUAAAUUUUUCAGAAAGUAAAUAUCUAUAAUUGCUUAGUUUUAUUAACAUAUGUUCUAUAUUGCUUGCUUAGUUUACUAAUAGCAUAAAAUAUAUGUUGAAUUUCUAUUUCGUGAAGUGCAUUGAUUAUUGAGUUUGCAAAAAUAAAUGUUGCUUUGUCUUUAAGUAAUUAUUUAAUGACUUAUGUGUAUUGACAAUUCACGAAAUUACAAAUUGUGUUAUGAUUUAAAUAAAAUAUAGAAACAUUUGGGCAUUUAUAACUAAGGGGCAUCAGAACAUGCACAUCCACGAAGUAUUUCAUGCAAUUUUGUUUUGGAACUCUCCACCAAUUGUGUAGUAAGAGGAAAAUCAUAAGACAGGGUUAUGUGUUCUAAUGUCAGUAUAGGUGGUAGAGUUCACAAAGUAUACCCUUUUGUACCCUUUAAUGAGAUAACCAGACAAUGAGUUUUGUGGUAUUAUGAUCAAGGAUAGUAAAACCCUAAAGAGCACGUAGAUAUGCGGUAACCAUAAAGAUAAUAGGCUUGUGUAUAGUUAAUGGAUUGACCAUAAAUAUGUCUAGACUUAUGAUUUUAUUAUUUAUAUCUUACAUGUUCUUUAAAUGUUAUUAUCAUUACAUUAUGCUAGUUUUUGUACAUCAUAACUAUCUACUAAAUCGUCUAUUCACUCCCAUAGAUUUUAAUGUUUUUCAAGUAAAGACUCUCAGUAUACUUAUCGAGGAUGUAGAAUUAGUUUCAGAGAGCAAGUCACUAAAUACCUAGCUUUGUGUCUUUUCUUAUUAAACUUGUGGGAUAUGUAGUCCAUUUCCUUUAUGUAUUUUAAUUUUAAUUUAGUUGUUUUCAACUAUAUGCCUCAUCUUGUCAACCUUUGUUUCCAUUAUUAAUUUAUUUUAUUGUUGUUGCUUUAUCAACAUUAUUUAGUUGUAUGUUUUUUGUUUUUUUUUUCAUACAAUAUAUUUAUCUACUGAGACAAUAAUUUCAUUUUAGAUUAUGAUACAAAGUGGGCUCAUUAUCUCUUAGUGGACCCUUUUUAGGCCGGUCCUUACAAAAUAAGUUCCUAAUGAUAUUCUUAUAUAUUAGUUUUCUUAUCCCUUCAUGAAUUACAUAGUAAUUUUCUCUUAUUGGUGUAGACAUGUUUUUAGGCUGUUUGAAUUUAGACCCAAGGAAAAUAAUAUUUACACUAAAAAAUGAGUUGUUCUGCUUCAUUGUCAAACUAAUAAAAAGACUACCAUGAAUAUAUAUACAUAUGAUCACAAAUAAUCAGCCUUACCAACAUAUUUUUAGUCUUUGAAUUAAAUACAUUUUAUCCCAUCAACCUUUUACAUGUUUUACUAGUUACCCUUCACAUUCAAAAUCCAACAAACAGCAAGCACACAUGAGUAUGUGCAUCAUUCAACUUGUUCUUUUUUAUUUCUAUAUAUAUAUCACAAAGUGUAAAAGUCCAUUAGGGUACAAAAUGUGAAUAGUGAAAAAGAAUACACAAAUGACAUACAACCAAUUUGUGUUAUUAUUAUUUUUUUCUUUAUUCAUUUAUCAGAAUGAAAAUAUAUAAAAACAAAAAAUGCAAGGCCUACAUAUUCAUUUUAUUCGUUAUGGUCUUAUAGAAGUCCUAAAAUACGUAGUUAUGUGCUCAGGACUCGUAAGAUGACCAUGCAUAGUGGAGCUUCAUUUACGUUCAGUAGCCAUGACAACCGGAGUGCUGGCAUGCGAACGUGCUCUAGGGGGAGGCAUGGCAUGACCCCCAAACUUCAUUCCAUUGGGACAAGGUAAGCCUUUUUCGGGGACACGGCUGCAUGAACUUAGUCCUGAAGGAGGGACAGGUCCUAAAAGCAUAGAUUUCAAAGGAACAAUCUUAUCUUCAUCCACUCUUCUUUCUCUCCAUCAAGAACCCUACUAGCACUGCCGGGUUGGACACUCAGAAUAAAAACAACUGCUGUGACAGCUAAAACAAUGUUGAGAAAUUUCAUGAUGAUCUUGGUUGGGUUAAGCAAACAGGAGAUGAUCAGGUAGAGCAAUAUUUUUAUGCGGGCAAUAUGAAGAUAUAUGGAGGAGAACGAUCACCGGUUAUUUAUAUUAAUGCUGCCAGUGGCAUGACUAGAGUUUUUGGUAGUUUGGCUUAGUUGAAGGGUUUUUUUUUUACUCUUGACUAAUAGAAUUUUACUGUAGGAGAUUAGAAAUUGAAUAGGUCAUAAAGGAAGAAAAUACCUAGAAUUACCCAAAUGACUAGUUUUCUUUUGUAGUUAAUUUAAUUCAACAUAUGAAUUUAUCUUAAACCAAUUAGAAAGAAAAUAUAUGAUAAUCUCUCCAAGAUUUUUUGAAAAUAGAUAUGAGAAAUUAAUCCAUUCCCAUUAACUUUAAUUAAUACUAAAGUACAUAAUUUGGCUUGGUUAAAUAUCAUUAGUUGUCAUUUCUGAGAAAAAUUCAGAUAAUUAUUGUUUUGGAGACCAGGUUCUACUAUAUAAUCACAUUUUUUUCACCAAAUUAAGCAAUAUUCGUAAAGCUUAUUUACAUUAUUGAUUUGUAAUUAACCUGUAUUGGACACUGAAGAAUCAAUUUAUAUGCUACAAGUACAAGUGAUAUUCACUAGCAUGUUCAGGAUACAUGGCCUUUUCUGUGCCAUAUUAAUUGCAUAAGGGGCUGCUAAAUCAUAUCUCAUAAAAAUUAAUCAUUUCCAAAUUGUUAGCAUUAAUCUAUAGCAAAGUUAAGUAUUAAUUCAAAAUUUUCUCAUCGUUGUAAAGAACUUAAUGGUAGAAAUAGGAGUAGAGAGACCAAUCUAGGUAGGUAUGGUCUAUGAAGACUUUUGUCUUAUAUAAUACGUACCAUUUACUUCAUUAUUUUAGAGGCAUUGAUUUUGAACAAAGAUAAAUUAAGUUGUGGUAGGAACACGUUUACUUGAAUUGGGGCUUGAAUGUUUGGGGCUUUUAGACGACAUACUUCUAGCAGAUUCAAGUCAUUGAACAUAACUCUACCAACACGCAUCAGCUUUUCCACCCUCAGGAGCCAUGAGACAAAGUCCAUUUCUAUGUAUAUAUGCACAUGUACCAACCCUCUUUAUUAUGACUCUACCCAUGUUGACAUAGUUUAACACGAGUUCAAAUUAGUAACUUAGGAUGAUAUUUAAGGCUUAAGCUAAAUUAUAUAUUUUGAUAAAUAUGGUUAAUAUGGUUAAUAUUAUCUGUCAUCCAACAACUUAAGGUUUUAAAUCAAAUGAGCAAUUUAACAAUUACACUAUCCUUAUUCCAUUAAUUGGAAGGCUCUUCGUAUCUUUUGCCCAAGAUAUCUAGGAAUUUUUAUUUUUUUUGCUUAAAUAAUAAUAUAAUUUAUAAAUAAAUAAUAUAUAUAUAUAUAUAACAGUAUUUUACAACGUAUUAAGAAAAAAUAUGAUAUUUUUCGAAGUCGGUCUUUUUUUAAAAAACAAUUUCACAAGCAUAAAUGGUUUUUAAGAAAAACAAUUUCUUGUUCAUAGAUAUCUUGUAUUUCAUCUCUUAUUUUCUUUCUUAUUUCAAGUAAGAUUGUUGUUUCAAAAUGGGAUUUUGACAUGAAUAUAGUACUCUUUUAUACCCUUAGGUGAGAUGACUAGGAGAUGAUCGAACUCUAUAGUAUUAUGAUCAAGGAUAGUGAGACCUAAAGAGCAUGUUGAUGAUACGUGGUGGCCAUGAAGGUAAUAGGCUUGUGUAUAGCUGAUGGAUUGACCAUAAAUAUGUCCAAAUCUAUUAUUUUAUUAUUUAUAUCUCAUACAUUUUUUAAACGUUAUUAUCAUUAUGUUAUGCUAGUUUUGGUACAUCAAAAUUACUCCAUAUAUAAUAUAUUUUAAGACUAUUUUUACCUUGUAUUAAUUAUCAUAACACAAGUGCAGCAUAAUUAUCCACUAAACCAUUCAUUCACCUAAUAGAUUUUAAUGGUUUUUUAGGUAAGGACUCUCGUAUGCCUAUUCAUGAGGUAGAAUCAGCUUCAAAGAACAAAUCACUACGUACCUAGAUUUGUGUUUUUCUUUAUUAGACCUAUCGGAUGCGUAAUCUAUUUCCUUAAUGUAUUUUAGUUGUUUUCAGUUGUAUGUCAUCUUGUCAACCUUUCCUUCCGCUAUUAAUUUAUUUUAUUAUUGUUGUUUUACCAAAAUCAUUAACUUGUGUGUAGUUUUUAUACUAAAUGUUUAUCUGUUGAGACAAUGAUUUCUUUUUAGAUUUUGAUGCAAAAUGGACUCACCGUCUCUUAGUGGGCCCUUUUUGGGUGGGUGUUUACAGAUCAAGUUUCUGAUAAUAUCAUUAUGUAGCAGUUUUCUCUUUACUAAUUACAAAGCAAUUUUCUCUUAAUGAUGUAGACAUGGUUUUAGGCUAUGGUUACACCUAAAGAAAAUAAUAUUUAUACUAAAAAAUAAGUUGUUCUGUUCUAUUAUCAAACUAAUGAAAAAGCUACCCUGAAUAUAUCCAUAUUAUCACAAAUAAUUACCCUUGCAUAUACUUCAGUUUUUUUCCUCUUCUCUAGCAUAUAAGUGCCGUAAACUUGGAUGCAUGAGCAAAGUUUGACAAAACACGCGGAUGAAUGCCGAACAAAGAUGAUGAAAAUGGAAGUACUGCUACAACCAGCAAUCAUAUAUGAGCAUAUGCAUCAUUCAACUUGUUCUUUUUUAUUUCUAUAUAUAUCACAAAGUGUAGAAGUCCACCAGGGUACAAACUGUGAAUGGAGAAAAAGAAUACACGAAUGACAUACAACCAAUUUGUGUUAUUAUUAUUUUUUCUAUGAGAAGGAAAAUAUAUCAAACAAAAGAACAAAAACAACAAAUGCAAGGCCUACAUAUUCAGUUUAUUCCUUGUGGUCCCAUAAAAGUCAUAAAAUACGUAGUUAUGUGCUCAGGACUCGUACGAUUUUCUGAUGUUGAGUGAUGACUAUUUAUGGUGGAGGCUAGAGCUUCAUUUAUGUUCGGUAGCCAUGACAACAGGAGUGCUGGCAUGCGAACGUGCUCUAGGGGGAGGAAUGGCAUUACCCGCAAACUUCAUUCCAUUGGGACAAGGUGAGCCUUUUUCAGGGAUAUGGCCGCAUGAACUUGGUCCUGAAGGAGGGACAGGUCCUGAUAGAAUAGAUUUCAAAGGAACAAUCCUUAUCUUCAUCCACUCUUCUUUCUCUCCAUCAAGAACCCUACUAGCACUGUGGGGUUGGACACUCAGAAUAAAAACCACUGCUGUGACAGCUAAAACAAUUUUGACAAAUCUCAUGAUGAUCUUGGUUGGGUUAAGCAAACAGGAGAUGAUCAGAUAGAGCAAUAUUUUUAUGUGGGCAAUAUGAAGAUAUAUGGAGGAGAACGAUCACCGGUUAUUUAUAUGAAUGCUGCGAGUGGCAUGACUAGAGUUUUUGGUAGUUUGGCUUAGUUGAAGGGUUUUUUUGACUCUUGACUAAUAGAAUUUUACUGUAGGAGAUUAGAAAUUGAAUAGGUCAUAAAGGAAGAAAAUACCUAGAAUUUACCCAAAUGGUUAGUUUUCUUGUGUAGUUAAUUUAAUUCCACAUAUGCGUGCAUCUUAAAUCAAUUACCAAGAAAAUAUAUGAUACUCUCUCCAAGCUUUUUCGAAAAUAGAUAUGAGAAAUUAAUCCAUGUCCAUUAGCUUUAGUUAAUAGUAAAGUAUGUAAUUUGGCUUGAUUAAAUAUCCUUAUUUUCACGAGAAAGUUAGAUAAUUAUCGUUUUGGAGACCGGGUUCUACUAUAUAAUCACAUUUUUUUUUCACCAAAUUAAGCAAUAUUCGUAAAGCUUAUUUACAUUAUUGAUUUGUAAUUAACCUGUAUUGGACACUGAAGAAUCAAUUUAUGUGCUACAAGUACAAGUGAUAUUCCCUAUCAUGUUCAGGAUACAUGGCCUUUUCUGUGCCAUAUUAAUUGCAUAAGGGGCUGCUAAAUCAUAUCUCAUAAAAAUUAAUCAUUUCCAAAUUGUUAGCACUAAUCUAUAGCAAAGUUAAGUAUUAAUUCAAAAUUUUCUCACGGUUGUAGAGCACUUAAAUAAGAGUAGAGAGACCAAUCUAGGUAGGUAUGGUCUAUGAAGACUUUUGUCAUAUAUGAUACGUACCAUUUACUUCAUUAUUUUAGAGGCAUUGAUUUUGAACAAAGAUAAAUUAUAUUGUGGUAGGAACACGUUUACUUGAAUUGGGGCUUGAAUGUUUGGGGCUUUUAGACGGCAUACUUCCAGCAGAUUUAAGUCAUUGAACAUUACUAACACGCAUCAGCUUUUCCACCCUCAGGAACCAUGAGACAAAAUCACACAAUUUCAACAAACACACAAGCCCAAUUUCAACAAUAAUCACUAUUAAAAUCAAAGGGAAAAAACUUACACAAUUUCAAAUUUUAGAAGGAUAAAAAAAUGAGAGAAAGUUGAUGAAAUGGAAGAAUGGGAGAGGAAAGGAGGGAGUUGUCGGUUGGCAGUGGCUAACCAGCGGCGGGAGGGAUGAUGGGUUUUUUUUUUUGGAAAUAAAAAAAAUAAAAUGAAAAAAGAAAUGGAAGGAAGGAAAUGAGGGGUGCAUGUGGCAGUGAAAAAAAUUGGGGGCCAGCCACUACCUUGUGUGGGAGCUGGGGAGGGAAAAAAAAACAAAAAACUCUAGAGGGGAGAUGGGAGGAGAGAGAAUGGGGAGUAGGUGGAGUGGUUGGGGAAUAAUAGGAAGAGAAAGGAGAGAGGAGAGAAAAAAGAAAGAAAAUGAAGAAAAGAAAUAGAAAUAAAAUAAUAAUAAUAGUAAAUAAUAAUAAAAUAAAAUAAUAAAAACUAAUAAUUAGAUGGUGAGUUAGCAAAAAAUAUAAAAUAUAAUCGAAAUUUAAAAACUAAAAAUAAAAUUGGGUUAAAAAUUAAUGUAAAGAUAAAAUUGGAACAAAUUUUGGGAUCUACAGCUCUUCGUAUAUAUCCUCUAUCCAAGAUAUCUAGGAUUUUUUUUAAAUAAUAAUAUAAUUUUAAAAUAUAUAUAUAUAUUACAAAAAUAUAAUAUUUUUGAAAGUUGUCUUUUUAAAAAAUGAUUUCACAUUCACAAAUUGUCUUUAUAAAAAAUAAAAACAAGUUUUUGUUAAUAGCUAUCUUGUAUUUCAUCUUUUAUUUUCUUUCUUAUUUCAAGUAAGAUCAUUGUUUCAAAAUGCGAUUUUGACAUGAAUAUACUCUUUUAUACCCUUAGAUGAGCUCUAUGGUAUUACAAUCAAGGAUAGUGAGACCUUGAAGAGCAUGUUGAUAUGUGGUGGCCAUGAUGGUAAUAGGUUUGUGUAUAGCUAAUGGAUUGACUAUAAAUAUCUCCAAAUCUAUUAUUUUAUUAUUAUAUGUCAUACUUUUUUAAAAUGUCAUUAUCAUUAUGUUAUGCUAGUUUUUGUACAUCAAAAUUAUUCCAUAUAUACUAUAUUUUUAAACUGUUUUUACUUUGUAUUAAUUAUAUCCUAACACUUGUGCAUCAUAAUUAUACGCUAAACCAUUUGUUCACCUAAUAGAUUUUAAUGUUUUUUAGGUAAGGACUCUCGUGCGUAUGCCUAUUGAGGAGGUAGAAUUAGCUUCAAAGAACAAGUCACUAAGUACCUAGACUUGCGUUUUUCCUUAUUAGACCUGUAGGAUAUGUAGUCCAUUUCCUUCAUGUAUUUUAGAUGUUUUCUUUAAUUUGUAUGUCUCAUCUUCUCAAUCUUUGCUUCCACUAUUAAUUUAUUUUGUUGUUAUUGUUUUAUCAAAAUCAUUUAGUUGUAUGUAUUUUUCUUAUACUAAAUAUUUAUAUGUUGAAACAAUGAUUUCUUUUUAGAUUUUGAUGCAAAAUGGACUCACAGUCUCUUAGUGGGCCCUUUUUGGGUGGGUCUUUACAAAUUAAGUUUCUAAUAAUAUUAUUAAUAACAGUUUUCUCUUCACAAAUUACUUAGUAAUUUUCUCUUAAUGAUGUAGACAUGGUCUUCCCCUAUGCAAAUUUAGAUCCAAAGCAAAUAGUAUUUAUACUUAAAAAAUAAGUUGGUUUGCUUUGUUAUCAAACUAAUAAAAAGGCUACCACAUGAAUAUAUUCAUAUUAUCACAAAUAUUAGCCUUGCCAAUAUAUUUGAGUUUUUUUCCUCUUUUCCAGCAUAUAAGUGCCAUAAACUUGGAUGCAUGAGCAAAGUUUGGUAAAACACACGGAUGAAUGCCAAGCAAAGACGAUGAAGAUGGAAAUACAGCAACAACCAGCAAGCAUAUAUGCGUAUAUGCAUCAUUCAACUAGUUCCUUUUUAUUUCCAUAUAUAUCACAAAGUGUAAAAGUCCACCAGGGUACAAAAUGUGAAUAGAGAAAAAGAAUACAAUAAUGACAUACAAUUUUUUGUGUUAUUAUUAUUUUUCCUUAAUGUAUUUAUCAUGAUGACUGACUCAUGCCCAAUUGGUGUCUCAGCUGAUUUGUGUUCAGCUGGUGCUCCUUGAUUGAGGAAGUGAUCAACAAAAUUUAUACCUAUAACACCAUACACUAGGGUAGCAAAUACAAAGCUACUAUAGUAUAGUGGCUCUAGGAUCGUUCACUGGGAAUGAUGAACAAGCAAUCAAGGAUACCAAUUCCAAGUGAAUUGGUCUUGUUUCAUUUCACGGUUAGCUUAAGAAGUAAAACACAAAGUUUGAUUGGUAAAGGUUUAGACUUAAACUAACUAACUUAACAGAAGUUUGGAAUAAUUUAGGAAGAAAAGCAUUCCUUGGAGAUUUAGGUUCACUGGGGUGGUUCCUCAUGCAAAAGACAUAGCUCCGGUCAGAUGGUUCAUUUCCUCGCAUUAGAGAUUCAACUUAGAGUCAAUUCUCUAACCGGUGAUGUACAGAGACUCCUUCAAUUAGAUUUCACUUUAAUUCUCUCACUGAUGCAACUUGCAAUGGUUCAUGCCUCUCACGAGCACUUACCAUUCAAGGUGAUCUUUAACCUUGGAUUUCCCUUCACAAACUCGCAAGAGAUAACUAAUGGAUGUCUCCUAGGAGUCCAAAAGCUUACCAAGUGUUGGUAAUUCUAGAAAAUCCUACCCUGAAGUCACCUACCAGAGGCUCGCAAGGGGUAAACUAGUGCAUUUCCACGGUUGGAAAUCACUUGCCUUACCAAGUGUUGGCCUAGGUGACUCCAAAGUGUUUUAAGUUAACUAAAAACAUUGAAAUCACUAAAGGAUUUCACUUCCUUUUCAUUACUAGCUAAAACCACAAAGCUUUGCAUUCUUGCACUUGGAACCUUCCCCGGCAAUCUUAGCUCCAAGGAAUUGGAGGUUUAGUUACUCAUUCUCUGGGGAAAACUCCUCAGAGAAUUCAUAACUUAGAAAUAAAAUGAAAAUACAAAGUGAGAAGGUAAGGCAGUAGAAAGAAAAGACUUUACUUGCUUACCAAAUGGUUACAGAAGGAACUCCUCCCUGAGAACAGGCUCCCGAGAGGUAUAUAUAUCAAAACAAUAUAAAAUUAAUUGUUACCAAGAUAUUUGGUCUUUUUACUAACUUAAAAACUAAGGAAUCAUGUAAUUGGUGGUUUACAAGGAGUAUUUUGGGAUUUAGACAACAAAAAUCUAAUGGAAAAUAUCUCCCAAUGUCGGUAGCAAGCUUCGGGAGGCUUCAGGAGCCAUUUCGUAGGAGAAAAGUGGUGUCUGCGAAAUUUCGCAGACACCCAAGAGGGCUGCGAAAUUAUUUCGCAACACUGAGCUAUCUUCACCAGGCUGCAAAGUUGGCUUCCAUCUUGAGGUUUCCAGCUCCCUUCUCGCGGCAUGGUUCAUGCAUCGUCAGAAGGAGAAACAUCUUACUGUACAAAAGUGCUGCGAAAUUCUCGCAACAAAAGGCUGAUUCCGCAACACUUUAGAGUGACUGGCUUGUAAUGGCUGCAACUUCUUCGUUUCAACUCCGAAUCGCGCACCGUUUGAAGCAUUGGAUUGUUGACUUCCUAAGCUUUGAAAUGGUAUAUAGCUUGCAUCAUUUGGACUUCAGAAAGUGCUCCAAAAGUGGCUGCUACGACUGUCAUCAAGAAUAGGCUUUAUGGCAGAUUCUCUUUGCUUUUUCUCCUUGCAAUCCGGAUUCACUCUUGGCAAUUGAAUUCUAAGCUUUGCCCAAGAUUCCUCAUAGCUCUCCUCAUUCUUGACUUGCUUUGGUGAUCAAAAUACUAACAAAAACACCAAAACUUACACAAAGUGAUCAAAAUUGCUUUAAAGGAUCCUUAACAUGUCAAUUGAGUUAAAAGGCCUAAACUACUACUCAAAAGUGUUAAAAAGGAUUAAUUAAAGGCUAUCAAAUAGCACUUUUUGAGUAGUAAUCAAUGACUAUGUACAAAAACAACAAAUGCAGGGCCUACAUAUUAUGUACUCAGGACUCGUAAGAUUUUCUGAUGUUGGGUGAUGACUAUGCACAUUAGAGGCUGGAGCUUCAUUUAUGUUCAGUAGCCAUAACAACAGGAGUGCUGACAUGCGAACCUGCUCUAGGGGGAGGCAUGGCAUGACCCGCAAACUUCAUUCCAUCAGUACAAGGUGAGCCUUUUUCGGGGAUACGGCCGCAUGAACUUGGUCCUGAAGGAGGGACAGGUCCUGAAAGCAUAGAUUUCAAAGGAACAAUCCUUAUCUUCAUCCACUCUUCUUUCUCUCCAUCAGGAACCCUACUCGCACUGCCGGGUUGGACACUCAGAAUAAAAACCACUGCUGUGACAGCUAAAACAAUGUUUAGAAAUCUCAUGAUGAUUUUGGUUGGGUUAAGCAAACAUGAGAUGAUCAGAUAGAACAAUAUUUUUAUGUGGGCAAUAUGCAUAUUGACGGAGGAGAACAAUCACCGGUUAUUUAUACGAAUGCAGCCAGGCAUGACUAGAGUUCUUGCUAGUUUGGCUUAGUUGAAGGGGUUUUUUUUUACUCUUAGACUAAGGUGGUAUUUGUUUUUUGGCCGAAUAAAAAAAAUCAAAAUAUUUAGUUUUUUCUAUUCAACUAAAAAUAAAAUGUUAACAUCAUUUAACAUAACUAAAUUAAACCUAUUGAUAACAAGUUCAUUUUAAUUAUAUUGAAUGAUGUCAACAGAUUACUUUUAACUGAAUAGAAAAAAUCAAAUAUUUUAAUUUUUUCUAUUCAGCCAAAAAACAAACACCACCUAAUAGAAUUUAAUUUACUCUAAGAGAUUAGAAAUUGAAUAGGUCAUAAAGGAAGAAAAUACCUAGAAUUACCCAAAUGACUAGUUUUCUUGUGUAGUUAAUUUAAUUCCACAUAUGAGUGCAUCUUAAAUCAAUUACAAAGAAAAUAUAUGAUAAUAUGAAUGCAUCUUAAAUCAAUUAGAAAGAAAAUAUAUGAUAAUUUCUCCAAGCUUUUUUGAAAAUAGAUACGAGAAAUUUAUCCAUUCCCAUUAACUUUAAUUAAUAUUAAAAUAUGUAAUUUAGCUUGGUUAAAUAUCAUUAGUUAUCAUUUCCGAGAAAAAGUUAGAUAAUUAUCAUUUUGGAGAGGAGGUUCCAUUGUAUAAUUACAUUUUUCUUCACCAACUUAAGCAUAAAUGGCUUUCCUGUACCAUAUGAAUUGCAGGAGGGGCUGCUAAAACUUAUUUCAUCAAAAAUCAUUGCCGAAUUGUUAGCGUUAAUCUAUAGCAAAAUUAAGUAUUAAUUCAAAAUUUUCUCACAGUUGUAAAGCACUCAAUGGUAGAAAUAAGGGUAGAGACAAAUCUAGGUAGGUAUGGUCUAUGAUGACUUUUGUCUUAUAUGAUACGUACCAUUGACUUUUGCCUUAUAAAUCAAGUUGUGGUAGGAACACGUUUGCUUGACUUGCGGCAUGAAUGUUUGGGGCUUUUAGACGAUAUAAUUCUAUCAGAUUCAAGUCGUUGAACAUAACUCUACUAACACGCAUCAGCUUUUCCACCGUCCAUGUUGACAUAGUUUAACGCACAUGUACCAACCCUCUUUAUCGUGACUUUACCCAUGUUGACAUAGUUUAACGCAUGCUCAAAUUAGUAACUUAGGAUGAAAUUUAAGGCUUAAAGCUAUAUUACCUUGAUAAAUAUGGUUAAUAUGGUUAAUUUGACCCAUUAUCCAACCGACUUGAGUUUUUAAAUCAAAACGGUAAUUUAACAAUUACACUAUUCGUGUACCAUUAAUUGGAAGGCUCUUCAAAUCCCCUUCAUAAAAUCGAGAAAUUAGUGAUUUAUCAAGAUUUUACAAAAAAAAUAAUAAUAAUCUAAUAUUUUUUUAAAAAAAUAUAAUAAUUGAAAAAUUAUUUUCAAAUCUAUAAUAAAAAAUUAUCUUUUGAAAAAACAAUUACAAAUUUUGAAAUUAUCUUCUAAAAAUAUAUUUUUAAAUAAAUAACUUAAUUUAGUCAUAAACAUAUGAGGUUGUGAAACCAAUCAUAUUGAUUUAAUUAAAACCCAGUUAUUAAAUAAAUUGUUAGAUGUAUUACCGAUUUAAUAAUUAUAUCAUAUUUUGAUCCAUAUUUUUAACUUGUGUGAUGUUAUCCAUGCUUUUAACUCGAUUUUCAUUGGUGUCAUGUUUAGAUUAACUUAUUCAAUAGAAUGCUUGAAUUUUGAAAUUAAUAACAUGAAUGUAUCCCAUCAGCACAAAUUACAUAUAUUAGACAAUUGUUUUUAUUACGAUGUUACCAUAAAUCAUAUAUAAUUCACAAAGUUUUGAAACUUCAAUCCAUUCUUCAUAUAUAUAUAUAUAUAUAUAUAUAUAUAUAUAAUAUAACUUUAUAUUCUUAAAAUGAUCAGGUUUAGGUUUUUUUUUUUCAUUUUUUUCCAAAUUAAUAUUUUAUUUUAAGUAAAUUUCUUUUUCCUUUACAAUUUCCUUUUCUAACUUCUUAUAUCUCAAACUACUAUAUUAUUUUUAGUCACCAAUGAACUAAAUUCCUUCUUUUACAAGUUUCUUUUUCACUUCUUUUUAUGUAUUAAUUUUGUGAAAUCAAGGUUUGGCUAAUCUCGAUUUUGAUGAUAACAUAACAAAAUUUAGAACUAAUUAUUAUAUUUCAAGUGUAAUUAGGCAAAAUGAUUUACAAAGUGACAAUCACAAAGACGAAUCAAAUCAAAGAAAAAUAAUGAAGAAAAAAAGACAUCAAAGAGAGGUAUUUUUCAAGACCCAAGCUUCAUAAGAUCUCUUUGUAAAGUUGUUGAUGCACUAGCAUUUUCAAACAUUACAUUCUUUACUUAUGCACCAAAAUCAUCCAAGAGUUAUUUUAUUUUAAAUUUUUAAAAAUUUGAUGAUUUCAUGUUUUCAAUUAAAAUCUUGUGUCAAAUGUUUUCCAAACUUGUUUAAAAUGUUUUAAGUUGAAAAAGUUAGUUGUUGAGCCAAAAACGGCUCAACUAGUUGAACCGGAUGAUUAGUGCACCAUUCAAUCCUAAAUUUCUUGUAUCAUUUGAGUUUAAAGUUUUGUAUUAGGAUUUAAUGAAAUCAUUUAUAAAUCUUUGAGAAGAAAAGUCUAAGUGUAAAGUAUCACUUAGGGAUUCUCAAGUGAGGAGUAUCACUUGAGGGGUUGUUCAAGAUAGGGGUAUCUCUUGAGAAGUGUAAAGAGUGUUUGAAGCCAAAAGUCCAAGAUGGUGGAUUAGAACCAUAAUCCAAUUGUAUUGCUUGAAGGAUUAGUUUGAAAACUUUCAAAUAGUGGAACCUCAAGCUUGAUAUUGAAGCUAAAAGAGAGUGGAUGUAGGUCAGGAUACAUCGAAUCACUAUAAAAUCUUGUAUUUGUAUUCUCUCUUCUCUGCUCUAUUAAUUUAUAUGAAGUUAUCUUUAUAUUGUUUUAUUAUAUACUUGCAUAUAAUUGUUUCUUACAUUCACAUAGUUUGAAUUUCAUCACUCUUUUCACCCCCCCUCCCCCCCGGGGUGAUUACCUUAGAUUGAAUUAGCCUAAUUUUUCUAACAAAUUUUAUCAUCCUCUAUCUUCAGCAAUCUAACUUAUCUAUAACAGAAGUAAAGAAAAAAUUAAUGAUUCGCACCAUCUCCAGCACUGAAUAUUAUUUGAAGAUUUUAUCAUAUUAUAUUUCAUAAAUCCUUGAGAAAAACAUUUGUUCUCCUUUGAAUAAAUGGUAGUAAAGAGACCAAAAUUUAAGUUGAAGACAAGAGAAUGAAUCAUUACUGACGAUAAGGUUUUCAAAGUUUUGGCAAAUGUCAAACCAUACGAUUUGAAUCUUGAUAACCAACCUCAAAGCUUAACGUUGAAGCAUUUGAAUUGGGUCUGAAUCAACUUUUCAACCUUAUAGAAGUAAAGUUUUCCAUAACAAUGGAAAACAGGGAAUGUUUGUUGUUGAACUAGAAGUCAAACCAGUACGCAUGAGAGCAGGUUCAUGGGAAGCUGCCCAAAAAUUAUGUACUCCAGAAGAAUUUUUGUUCCUCUUCCACACUGUUGAACCUCAUUUUCGGUCUUAUUAACUGUGGGGUAAUUGAAAUUGAUCAGAAAAAUAGGCGAGGGAAGGAAAAAUAAAUUUAAACCUUAAAUGACUCUCUCUCUCUCUCUCUCUCUCUCUCUCUCUCUCUCUCUAUCUAUCUAUCUAAUUAACGUGCAAGUAAAUACAUUAUGACUAUCCUGGACAAAUACAGGGAAAAUAAUUCAAAGGGUUGACUAACAGGGAAAAUAAUUCAAAGGGUUGACUCUCUCUCUCUCUCUAUAAUAUAGGAAUUAAUACAUUUUUUUUUCCACAAAACAUCUCUCAUAAUUUUUGAGAAAUAUAUUAAUGUACUAAUAUUUCUUCAUUUUAGUUCCUUCACUGUUAUUUUUUAUAUUCGAAGAGACUAUGAAAAGAAAAUUGUAUCCUCUCCUUCAGAUGCAAUGGCAAAUCUCAAAAUCUUCCUACAAAUUAAAUUGAAAAUUAAAUUUUUAUUAAUGACAUAUGAAGACUACGUAGUUCUUGUAAUAGCAAACUUGGGUAAUAACUCAAAUUGCCGGCAUGCGCCCUGAAUGUCAAAUUAAGAUGGUUGAUGAGGAUGGUAAAGCAGCAACUACCAGCAAAGAUGAUUUCCAACUUAUUCAUUUAUUCUCAAUUUGUCUUAGUGAAAAAACCUUCAGAAGGGUACGUACGUACCACAUGUGAACAAUAAUCAAAAUUACAAAAUACGUAAAAUUGCCAGUAUGUUCUUCAUUAUGUAAACAAACACACAAACUUUAUCACAAGAAUGACAACAUACACGACCCAAUGAAAAGAAUUUCUGAUUUUGGGGGCUCCCAUGGUCGAGCUUCUUCUAUAUAUAUGUUCACUGUCCAGUAGCCAUGACGAACGGAGGGGGAGGCUUGGCAUGGCCUGCAAACUUCAUUCCGUUAUGGCAAGGUGGGGCGCCCUUUUCCGGGAUAUGGCUGCAUGAACUGCUUCCAGAAGGAGGCACAGGACCUGAACUCAGAGAUUGUAAAGGAACAAAUCUUAUCUUGAUCCACUCUUCUUUCUCUCCAUCAAGAACCCUACCAGCACUGUGUGGUUGGACGCUCAGAACAAGAACAAGUGCGGUGACAGCUAAAGCAAUGUUGAGAAACCUCAUGAUCUUUGACGGGUUAAGCAAAGAGGAGAUGAUCAAAGCAAUAUUUUUGGAUGGACAAAUUAAUAUGC